Molecule: long non-coding RNA, 391 nt
Organism: Poecilia latipinna (sailfin molly)
Lineage: Eukaryota; Metazoa; Chordata; Actinopteri; Cyprinodontiformes; Poeciliidae
Exons: 2
Source: RefSeq, a predicted model, not a curated record
UCCACAGCCCACACCGUGGAGCUUCCAGCGGAUGGAUUCUCAGAUUUUUUACAGAGGUAAGGCAAAUGUUCUUGGUAGGUUUCGACCACAUUUUUUCCCACAAGAGACAUGUGACAUUAUUUCUCAAGACCAUGGAGAGGAGUCAAGUCGUAGUUCACCUCCAGACUCUGCGGACUGUACCAGCAGCUCUAGUGAAGAUGAGAUUGGUUAUGAAGACCGGGAUGACAAGCAGGAAGAACCCCUUUUGCUUCCAGAAGACUCCACACCUAUAGGGACCUCCCAACAUCACAUGCAUGACUGAGGCAAGAUGACAACACUGGGCCAACGAGGAGAGAGAAGACGCAAUGGACGGGGGAUUCUAACAUUAACAUUCAAUAAACUGUUCAAACUU